Molecule: ribosomal RNA, 253 nt
Filed under: uncultured bacterium
Lineage: Bacteria
Description: partial 16S ribosomal RNA
Rfam family: Bacterial small subunit ribosomal RNA
Source: RNAcentral
UACGUAGGGUGCGAGCGUUAAUCGGAAUUACUGGGCGUAAAGCGUGCGCAGGCGGUUUUGUAAGCCAGAUGUGAAAGCCCCGGGCUCAACCUGGGAAUGGCAUUUGGGACUGCAAGGCUGGAGUGUGGCAGAGGAGACUGGAAUUCCUGGUGUAGCAGUGAAAUGCGUAGAUAUCAGGAGGAAUACCGGUGGCGAAAGCGACUCUCUGGACGGCAACUGACGCUGAGGCACGAAAGCGUGGGGAGCAAACAGG